Molecule: long non-coding RNA, 1643 nt
Organism: Gouania willdenowi (blunt-snouted clingfish)
Lineage: Eukaryota; Metazoa; Chordata; Actinopteri; Blenniiformes; Gobiesocidae
Source: Ensembl
UAAUGUGAUCUACACAGUGACUUUAUUUUCACUGCUCGUACAAUAAUAAUCUACAAUAUAUAUUGUUUCUGAGAACAAACCAAUAAUUUAUUCAUGAAUUAAUUUAUACUCAACAAAUUUCCUCUGAAAUCCAUUAAAUCAUCCACAGACCAAAUCAUUCAGGCUGUAACUACUUUAUUCACUCUUAAAUCACCAUUAAACACAUUUAUUCUGACUGGUUUGUCAAUUAAGUUGCUAAAAAAAGCUGGUUGUGACGUCAGCGCAAAAGUUGAGAGUGGUUGCCAGGUUGAGUAUUUUCCCGCUGAUUGUGAGAUUAUAAAAUAACUAACUUAGUGAUCAAACAGUUUAACGUUGGUUAAAGGUGAUAUUUAUGUUUUAUUUGGAUGAUAAACGGAUGGUUUUUGGGGCAUUUCUGUGGAUAUUCAACAUAUUUCAUGCGGGGAAUCGUCGGUUGUAUCUGGCAACCAGCUAGAGUCAGGAACAAAGCAGUGAAAUGGAGGACGGACAGAGCUGGAUGAUGACUACCGUUAAACUAGAAGAAGAAGAAAAGGAACAAAUAUUAUGGAGGGAAGUGAAGCUGAGUAUGAGUAAGACGGACAGUGAUGAUGAUGAUGAUGAAGGCUGCAGGAGGAAAGCUGUGCUGGAGGAGCUUCGUCAUCCCGACCAUGUGUGGGACGGAAUGUUUGCUCCAAAGAUGGAGAAAAGCGGAGAAGAAGAAACGGAGGAGUUUUCAGAUGUGUGCUCUGUGAAGGAAGAGUGUGUAAGUUCUUGACGGUGGAGAUGCAGGAGGCGCUGGAGAGGACAGGUCGGUCCAAGGAGGUGCUGGAGUUGGGGGAGGUGCUGGACACGGCAAGAGUAGACGCAAUAUUAAAUAGUACACGUUGUAAGAACAACACACUCAUCAACCAUAAUUAUCCUUAAAUAGCUUUAGAAUGCUUAGGAUUUUAAAGCAUUGCAUCGUGGGUAGUUGAUGAUCUGUGUGUUGAUGUUUAGGGAGACCCGUUUGACUGAGGCCGUGGACAACAUCUGUGAACGCAUCCUGCAGUACAGCGUUCACGCAUAGAGGCCUGGAAGUCUACGCUACGCCAAGGUCAGUCCACCGCCUCAUUGUUACCUUUAAACAAUCCUCCACUGGUUUUACAAGUUUGGCCUAAAACCUUUGAAAUGUAAUUAUUAGAAGAUCUAUGCCUAACCAAACAUUAUUUGUUUAAUUAUUGUUUUUUUUAUUUGGCUUUCAUAAAUAAUUAUGCAUAUUUACAGAUAUUGUACAUGAUAUGAGUGAUAACACGUGUUGUAAAGGCUAUUUUACACAAUAGGUGUGGCUACAGAUUUAUACUUGUUCGUUGGUGUACCAUGGGCACUAAAAGUCUGGGAACCACUGAUCUACACAACUAAAAAGUACAAACAUGUAGAGGCAGCUCAGUGGGAGCACUAAACAGAAACUAAAAAGAGAAGGAGAUCAGAAACACAGAACAUAUAAAGAAGCAUAAACUGAAUAUAGGUCAUUUUUUCACUCCAGUGUAUUUUGCCAGAUCAGCAUUUCUUUGAGAGAAAUUGUCAGGUUUCCAGAUGUUUAUGUUUUGCCAGAUUAAACUGAUGCUGAUGUGUUUUAUUUUCAUAGCAUCAUAUGUGAGUGAGGGGCU